AAGCGACCAAGCGUACACGGUGGAUGCCCUGGCAGUCAGAGGCGAUGAAGGACGUGCUAAUCUGCGAAAAGCGCCGGCGAGGUGAUAUGAACCCUUGACCCGGCGAUGUCCGAAUGGGGAAACCCAGUGUGACUCGUCACACUAUCAUUAACUGAAUCCAUAGGUUAAUGAGGCGAACCGGGGGAACUGAAACAUCUAAGUACCCCGAGGAAAAGAAAUCAACCGAGAUUCCCCCAGUAGCGGCGAGCGAACGGGGAGGAGCCCAGAGCCUGAAUCAGCAGGUGUGUUAGUGGAAGUGUCUGGAAAGGCACGCGAUACAGGGUGAGAGCCCCGUACACGAAAAUGCACCUGCUGUGAGCUCGAUGAGUAGGGCGGGACACGUGGUAUCCUGUCUGAAUAUGGGGGGACCAUCCUCCAAGGCUAAAUACUCCUGACUGACCGAUAGUGAACCAGUACCGUGAGGGAAAGGCGAAAAGAACCCCGGCGAGGGGAGUGAAAAAGAACCUGAAACCGUGUACGUACAAGCAGUGGGAGCACCCUUUGGGGUGUGACUGCGUACCUUUUGUAUAAUGGGUCAGCGACUUAUAUUCUGUAGCAAGGUUAACCGAAUAGGGGAGCCGGAGGGAAACCGAGUCUUAAUUGGGCGUUAAGUUGCAGGGUAUAGACCCGAAACCCGGUGAUCUAGCCAUGGGCAGGUUGAAGGUUGGGUAACACUAACUGGAGGACCGAACCGACUAAUGUUGAAAAAUUAGCGGAUGACCUGUGGCUGGGGGUGAAAGGCCAAUCAAACCGGGAGAUAGCUGGUUCUCCCCGAAAGCUAUUUAGGUAGCGCCUCGUGAAUUCAUCUCCGGGGGUAGAGCACUGUUUCGGCUAGGGGGCCAUCCCGGCUUACCAACCCGAUGCAAACUGCGAAUACCGG
This 919-nucleotide ribosomal RNA is filed under the name Salmonella bongori. RNAcentral describes it as "partial 23S ribosomal RNA". It matches the Rfam family "Bacterial large subunit ribosomal RNA", at positions 1 to 966 of the family's 2925-position model. Lineage: Bacteria; Pseudomonadati; Pseudomonadota; Gammaproteobacteria; Enterobacterales; Enterobacteriaceae. The record is from RNAcentral.